This 474-nucleotide ribosomal RNA is filed under the name uncultured bacterium. Its description in RNAcentral is "partial 16S ribosomal RNA". It matches the Rfam family "Bacterial small subunit ribosomal RNA", at positions 28 to 507 of the family's 1533-position model. The record is from RNAcentral.
GAUGAACGCUAGCGGCAGGCCUAACACAUGCAAGUCGAGGGAGGAGCCUUCGGGCUUCGACCGGCGUACGGGUGCGUAACGCGUAUACAAUCUGCCUUUCACAUAGGGAUAGCCCGAAGAAAUUUGGAUUAAUACCUAAUGGUAUAUAGAUGUGGCAUCACCUUUAUAUUAAAGCUGAGGCGGUGAAAGAUGAGUAUGCGUUCUAUUAGCUAGUUGGAGAGGUAACGGCUCCCCAAGGCGACGAUAGAUAGGGGUUCUGAGAGGGAUAUCCCCCACACUGGUACUGAGAUACGGACCAGACUCCUACGGGAGGCAGCAGUGAGGAAUAUUGGACAAUGGUCGGAAGACUGAUCCAGCCAUGCCGCGUGCAGGAAGACGGCCUUAUGGGUUGUAAACUGCUUUUGCAGGGGAAGAAUAAGGACUACGCGUAGUUUGAUGACAGUACUCUGCGAAUAAGCAUCGGCUAACUCCGUG